AGCAUAAGCUUUCCCUUGUCAACAUUUUUCCUACAUGUUCAUGAGUCUGUGGAUGUGAACAAAGCACUAGGAGAAGCAAAGGUCACGAAUAACUGGCGGCGAUGCAAGGAACCCAGCUAUUUAGUGGUCGAAGUGACUUUAGAAUCACUACCUUGAAAUUCCAUCCAAAAGACCACAACAUCUUUUUAUGUGGAGGCUUCAGUUCUGAAAUGAAAGCUUGGGAUAUAAGGACUGGCAAGGUGAUGAGAAGCUACAAGGCGACCAUCCAGCAGACCUUGGACAUCCUGUUCCUCCGGGAAGGCUCCGAGUUCCUGAGCAGCACAGAUGCUUCCACCCGGGACUCGGCUGACCGCACCAUUAUUGCCUGGGAUUUCCGGACCUCUGCCAAAAUCUCCAACCAGAUUUUUCACGAGAGGUUCACCUGCCCCAGCCUCGCCUUGCACCCGAGAGAGCCUGUGUUCCUGGCACAGACCAAUGGCAACUACCUGGCCCUUUUCUCCACUGUGUGGCCCUACCGGAUGAGCAGACGGCGGCGCUAUGAAGGGCACAAGGUGGAGGGCUACUCAGUGGGCUGCGAGUGCUCCCCAGGCGGUGACUUGCUGGUGACGGGCAGCGCCGAUGGCCGGGUCCUGAUGUACAGCUUCCGCACAGCCAGCCGAGCAUGCACACUGCAGGGGCACACACAGGCCUGUGUCGGCACCACCUACCACCCCGUGCUGCCCUCCGUCCUCGCCACCUG
Molecule: small RNA, 739 nt
Filed under: Pan troglodytes (chimpanzee)
Lineage: Eukaryota; Metazoa; Chordata; Mammalia; Primates; Hominidae
Description: processed transcript
Source: RNAcentral